This 857-nucleotide long non-coding RNA is filed under the name Carica papaya (papaya). RNAcentral describes it as "long non-coding RNA (CPAP_LNC002550)". The record is from RNAcentral. Lineage: Eukaryota; Viridiplantae; Streptophyta; Magnoliopsida; Brassicales; Caricaceae.
GAGAUCAAAAGGCAAAAGGGUAUAAAUAAGACCCCCACACCAGACCCCAAACCCUAGCCGUCUGCCCUCGCCGGAGAAGACGAACCAGAAGCCGGCCGCCGCCACCCGCCGCCGCACCGGAGGGAUUUCCGACCGCCGAUCGAGGUAAAUUUCAUACCCCCGACUCAUUUUUCCACGCUGAUUUCCCCAGUGGCCAAAUCGGAGCCAAAAUCCCGGCCAAACGGCCAGAAAACACGACCGAAAGCCAGCCGCGCCGCCGCGCCUCUCCUCAGUUUUUGCCGCCGAUGAGGCCCUUCUCGGCCUCCGUUUAAUGCAAUUUUUAUACCACCGUGAUCACCAUUCUUUUCUCUACAGGUUAAUCGGAGCCGAAUCACCAAAACACGAACUUCACCGGAGAGUCGCCGCACCCGAGAGCACCGCCGCCGGUAAGCUUCGGUUUUCCGUAAAUUUUCGGCCCCCCGAGGGCCGUAGGGAUGUUUUAUCGCAGAAACCAAUGCGAGUGUGGCCGAAUUCGGCCGUAAACGGCCAACCCGAGGUGAACCGCCACCGCAAGCGGUGGCGCCGUCGCCGGAGCACGGCGGAGCCGCCGUGCCGGAGUUGCGAUAUUGGCUGAAAUGGGCUCUGGGCCUAAUUUUGGAUUUUUUGGAACACGUGCAGGUACCAGUAGUGCGUUUCAGUUCCCCGAAAAAAAUUCAGAGAAAAUUAGGGACAGCCUGUAGGCGCACUGUGAAGCCGUGUUCGGACCCCGAAACGUGUAAGGACCCCUCACCCUAUUUCCUAUCACGGUUUUAAAGUUCAAUAAAUGAUAAAACGGUAUUUCAUGAAUCAACGAAUGUGUGAAAUUGCUUAAGGUCGCU